CCUCUGAUAAACGGUCUUUAAAGUAUCAACUACCAAUCUGUACUCGAUUUAAUUCAACUUGACCCCGACUACUCCCCAAGGCCCAGAGCUCUAUAAAACCAAUAAAAAAUUCCACUCACCCACAACCCAAACAGCCCACCAAGCCCAGGACGAAAGUCAACAACCGUAAAACCCAAAAAAGCCACAAAGGACAGGACGAAUAAAAGCGUAAACAGGGAAGGACUAAGACUAUUAGGUUAUCUAUUAGGUUGACAAUUAAAAAACGAGCAAAUGGCGCAUUAAAAACUCCCACCGACAGUUGACAAAACAUGACCUCAACAGGACAUACUUUGUGAGGCGACUAGACUUGUUUGAAGUAGCACUUGAAAAUAAAAUUGUGAGAAAAAGGAUUAAGUUGCCUUCUAUACCUUUGCCUAAAGCUUCCAAAAUUUUAAAAAAUAUACAAUUAGUCAGUUGUUUUUCUCCAUGUAGCCAACACGUUAAUGACAGCACUGUCAACAAUUGAUGGGCGGCGACCUGGGCCCUGGCAUUUGGCCAUUAGUUGGGCCUUUGCCCUCUGAACUUGGUGAGCAGUGAGGACUGGCCAGGAUACUGGCAACAGGACACAAAAGUUUUUAUCUGCGCUGGUCUUCUUUUUCAAUGAUGUCGGCAAUUAGCCACGUUCGGGUCGUCAGCCAAGUUAAUUACUUUGAUCACAAAUUGAUAAGCUGAAUUUUUCAAUUAAUGUGCGAAAUGUGUGAGCCAAAGCCGAGCAGGAAAUGUGAAAAAAAUAAUAGUAAUAAUAAAGAACAAUGAGUACAAAAACCAGCCAACAUCAA
This is a long non-coding RNA of Drosophila ananassae, 818 nucleotides long. RefSeq lists it as uncharacterized. The record is from RefSeq and is a predicted model, not a curated record. The transcript is spliced from 2 exons. NCBI's taxonomy places the organism in Eukaryota, Metazoa, Arthropoda, Insecta, Diptera, Drosophilidae.